Myxocyprinus asiaticus (Chinese sucker) is the source of this 1441-nucleotide RNA transcript. It is a transcript of the gene named nicotinamide riboside kinase 2-like, with no coding region annotated. The transcript has 7 exons. The record is from RefSeq and is a predicted model, not a curated record. NCBI's taxonomy places the organism in Eukaryota, Metazoa, Chordata, Actinopteri, Cypriniformes, Catostomidae.
AGGGAGAGUCCGGCAGAGAAAGAGAGGAGAGAGAGAGACUGAAAGCAUUCCCGAGAUUAUUGACAUUUAAAGGAAGCAAUUCCUUUGCUAGUGUCCUUCUGCAAAGACCAAGAAUUAAAGGAUCAGAAUGAAGUUUAUUAUUGGAAUUGGAGGAGUGACUAAUGGAGGAAAGACAACUCUGACGAGUAGACUUCUGAAGAAUUUACCGAAUUGUUGUGUUAUACAUCAAGAUGAUUUUUUCAAGCCCCAAGAUCAAAUAGAGGUCGGGGAGGACGGCUUUAGACAAUGGGAUGUGAUUGCAGCGUUAGAUAUGGACGCUAUGGCGAACACAGUUAAGGGAUGGAUCGAGAACCCGGUGAAGUUUGCACGUUCUCACGGCGUGACCGUUUCAGCCAUGCCUGACGGCUCGGACCCUGAACGCGAGAUCCACAUCCUCAUUAUAGAAGGAUUUCUUCUCUAUAACUACAAGCCUUUGCUUGAUGUCUACAACAAGUGCUACUAUGUCACCAUUCCAUACGAGGAGUGCAAAAGGAGAAGAAGUACAAGAAAGUAUACCGUUCCUGACCCCCCUGGUCUGUUUGACGGCCAUGUUUGGCCCAUGUACUUGAAACACAGGAGAGAGAUGGAGAAUAACAGCCUAGAUGUCCGUAAGUCAACCAAUCUGAAUGACUACUGUAGUAGUAGCCCAUUUUACAUGUGUAAUGUAACAUAUUUCCAAAUUAAAUGUAGGGAUGGGUUUAAUUUGGUCAAUUAGGAAUUCACUGGAUUGUGAAAAGUGGGCGUUGCAUGGGGACGGGUUAAAAAUAAGAGGGCUUUAUGAUGUCAUCAAUAAAGGAAACUUGUUUCAGAGGCGGAGCAAGUUAAUACAUUUUGAUGAAAGAUUUCAAAGACAAGCAUUUUUUUUUCUUCUUUGAAAUAAAGAUGAAUUGUUCACAAUUAGACCAGAAACAUAAUAAAGUAAAUAAGGGUCCGUUUUGAUAUCACGUUGACUUUAAGGAACCAUUGUAACUCACAUGGACUCUUUCAUUUUGUGCCUGUAGUAUAUCUGGAUGGAAUGAAAUCCAAAGAGGAGAUCUAUAACCAAGUUUAUGUAGACAUUCAGAACACAUUGUUGAAUAUGUUAUUGCAUCUCCAGAUUGCAUGAAGAUGUUUGUGUAUAGAACUGUAAAUAGCAUUUUAAGUAGAUAUGGCUUUGUCCAGUGAACAAAUAUUGUAAAUAAUAUAAUAAAAUACUAACUUAUUGUACAACUGAUGGCAAAAGCCUGGAAUUUUAUAUUGAUCUAUGUAACUUUUCUUUUAUUAAAAAAGGUAUUGCUCUCUGGAGUGCCCAGAGAUGAACAAUAUUUUGUUGCCAUGUGUUUUUAUUGUACUGUUAUUGAAAACUCUACUGAAACUCUAUUUGACUAAAAGGUCUUGGGUCAUAAAAGUCAUUUGAAUCCUU